RNAcentral lists this ribosomal RNA (305 nucleotides) under uncultured bacterium. RNAcentral's name for it is "partial 16S ribosomal RNA". It matches the Rfam family "Bacterial small subunit ribosomal RNA", at positions 508 to 807 of the family's 1533-position model. The record is from RNAcentral.
ACAGCAGUCGCCGCGGGAAUACGUAGGGUGCAAGCGUUAAUCGGAAUUACUGGGCGUAAAGCGUGCGCAGGCGGUUUGUUAAGACAGAUGUGAAAUCCCCGGGCUCAACCUGGGAACUGCAUUUGUGACUGGCAGGCUAGAGUAUGGCAGAGGGGGGUGGAAUUCCGCGUGUAGCAGUGAAAUGCGUAGAUAUGCGGAGGAACACCGAUGGCGAAGGCAGCCCCCUGGGCCAAUACUGACGCUCAUGCACGAAAGCGUGGGGAGCAAACAGGAUUAGAUACCCCAGUAGUCCCUGUCUCUUAUAC